RNAcentral lists this ribosomal RNA (620 nucleotides) under Lutjanus fulviflamma (dory snapper). RNAcentral describes it as "partial 12S ribosomal RNA". It matches the Rfam family "Bacterial small subunit ribosomal RNA", at positions 623 to 1491 of the family's 1533-position model. The record is from RNAcentral. Lineage: Eukaryota; Metazoa; Chordata; Actinopteri; Lutjaniformes; Lutjanidae.
AGAGUGGUUAAGAUUUAUAUAGGACUAAAGCCGAACGCCCUCAAAGCCGUUAUACGCAUCCGAAGGUAAGAAGCCCAACAACGAAAGUGGCUUUAUGUUAUCCGAAUCCACGAAAGCUAUGACACAAACUGGGAUUAGAUACCCCACUAUGCCUAGCCGUAAACAUUGAUAGUAAACUACACCCACUAUCCGCCCGGGGACUACGAGCACCAGCUUGAAACCCAAAGGACUUGGCGGUGCUUUAGAUCCACCUAGAGGAGCCUGUUCUAGAACCGAUUACCCCCGUUCAACCUCACCUUUCCUUGUUUUCCCCGCCUAUAUACCACCGUCGUCAGCUUACCCUGUGAAGGACUCAUAGUAAGCAAGAUUGGCAUAGCCCAAAACGUCAGGUCGAGGUGUAGCGUAUGGAAAGGGAAGAAAUGGGCUACAUUCACUAACACAGUGAAACACGAACGAUACACUGAAAUACGUAUCUGAAGGAGGAUUUAGCAGUAAGCAGAAAAUAGAGCGUUCCGCUGAAACUGGCCCUGAAGCGCGCACACACCGCCCGUCACUCUCCCCAAGCUUACUAACCUUAAGUACCUAAAACCCUAAAACUGCAAAGGGGAGGCAAGUCGUAA